CUAACACAUGCCAGUCGAGCGGAUGAAGGGAGCUUGCUCCUGGAUUCAGCGGCGGACGGGUGAGUAAUGCCUAGGAAUCUGCCUGGUAGUGGGGGAUAACGUCCGGAAACGGGCGCUAAUACCGCAUACGUCCUGAGGGAGAAAGUGGGGGAUCUUCGGACCUCACGCUAUCAGAUGAGCCUAGGUCGGAUUAGCUAGUUGGUGGGGUAAAGGCCUACCAAGGCGACGAUCCGUAACUGGUCUGAGAGGAUGAUCAGUCACACUGGAACUGAGACACGGUCCAGACUCCUACGGGAGGCAGCAGUGGGGAAUAUUGGACAAUGGGCGAAAGCCUGAUCCAGCCAUGCCGCGUGUGUGAAGAAGGUCUUCGGAUUGUAACAGCACUUUAAGUUGGGAGGAAGGGCAGCAAGCUUAAUACCUUGCUGUUUGACGUUACCAACAGAAUAAGCACCGGCUAACUUCGUGCCAGCAGCCGCGGUAAUACGAAGGGUGCAAGCGUUAAUCGGAAUGUACUGGGCGUAAAGCGCGCGUAGGUGGUUCAGCACAGCUUGGAUGUGAAAUCCCCGGGCUCAAGCCUGGGAACUGCAGUCCAGAAGCUACUGAGGCUAGAGUACGGUAGAGGGUGGUGGAAGUGUUCCUGUGUAGCGGUGAAAGUGCUGUAGAUAUAGGAAGGGGACACCAUUGGCGAAUGGCGACCACCUGGACUGGAUACUGGACACUGGAGGUGCGAAAGCUGGGGAGCAGAACAGGAUUAGAUAGCCCUGGUAGUCCAC
This 773-nucleotide ribosomal RNA is filed under the name uncultured Pseudomonadales bacterium. RNAcentral's name for it is "bacterial SSU rRNA". It matches the Rfam family "Bacterial small subunit ribosomal RNA", at positions 48 to 798 of the family's 1533-position model. Lineage: Bacteria; Pseudomonadati; Pseudomonadota; Gammaproteobacteria; Pseudomonadales. The record is from RNAcentral.